AUUGAACGCUGGCGGCAGGCCUAACACAUGCAAGUCGAGCGGCAGCACGGGUACUUGUACCUGGUGGCGAGCGGCGGACGGGUGAGUAAUGCCUAGGAAUCUGCCUGGUAGUGGGGGAUAACGUCCGGAAACGGGCGCUAAUACCGCAUACGUCCUACGGGAGAAAGUGGGGGAUCUUCGGACCUCACGCUAUUAGAUGAGCCUAGGUCGGAUUAGCUAGUUGGUGAGGUAAUGGCUCACCAAGGCGACGAUCCGUAACUGGUCUGAGAGGAUGAUCAGUCACACUGGAACUGAGACACGGUCCAGACUCCUACGGGAGGCAGCAGUGGGGAAUAUUGGACGAUGGGCGAAAGCCUGAUCCAGCCAUGCCGCGUGUGUGAAGAAGGUCUUCGGAUUGUAAAGCACUUUAAGUUGGGAGGAAGGGCAGUUACCUAAUACGUGAUUGUUUUGACGUUACCGACAGAAUAAGCACCGGCUAACUCUGUGCCAGCCGCCGCCGUAA
Molecule: ribosomal RNA, 502 nt
Filed under: uncultured bacterium
Lineage: Bacteria
Description: partial 16S ribosomal RNA
Rfam family: Bacterial small subunit ribosomal RNA
Source: RNAcentral